Molecule: long non-coding RNA, 1241 nt
Filed under: Zonotrichia albicollis (white-throated sparrow)
Lineage: Eukaryota; Metazoa; Chordata; Aves; Passeriformes; Passerellidae
Description: lncRNA (ENSZALG00000000299.1)
Source: RNAcentral
AUUUUUUCCAGGGAGACAUUAAAGAAAAUUUCUAUCACCCAUAACUUUUCAAGAAACACCAGCUGUAGUUUCUCAUGAAUUUAUUUUUUUUUCUCUUGCAAAGGUCCCUGUGUCAGUUCUGCUAAGGUGGCAGGGGAUGACUGGUGGCCCUUACCUCAAUGUUUGUCCAUGUGCUUUACCUCAAAAGGAGAUAAUAACAAUAUACGAGUGUUUUUAUUUCCCAAUUCCCACUUUUUGCCUUUAUCUUUGUAAGUAAGUUCAUCACUGUCAGCAUACAGAGCAAGACAGAUUUGGUAACCAGGUUCAAAGGACCAAUCCAUCCUUAAUGGAAAAAGACCAAACUGUAUAGGAACCUGCUGUGUAAUGGAACAUUGACUUCACUUUUACAUUCAAUAACUUAGACUAUCACAGGUCCUCAGUGUUGGGCCUCCCCAAGCUCAGUGCCACUCUGAGCUUUCUUUCAGUGGUUCUCAUGCAAUCUUGCAUUGCCUGACCUGCUUCCUUGCUUCAUUUUUAUGUCUCUUCCCUUUCUUCCUCCUCUGUUUCCCCUUCCAUAGGCUUCUAUGCUGUCUCCUGGUCUUUUAAGUGACUGACUGAAAAGAAGUGAAUGAGUAUUAUUCUAGUAAAGUGAACCUUCUCUGUCAGAUAUCUUCAAGCUGCUGAGAAGAUCUUGAGGAGACAGCCUGAGGUAGGAACAGUAAGGACAGCAAAGAUCACAACUCUUCUGGCUCUUCUGCAAGUGCUCCCAGAUGGCAGCUCCUACCUCUGGCCACUGGUACUCUGGAUCCCUGUUUGCUACCCUUGUUCUCAUUGCUGCCUGGCCUCAAGAGAGAAACCUUCCCAACUGGUGAUCAGCUUGGUGCAACCACAGUCCCUCUUAGCUGCUGCUGAUUUUCCUUUGGCCAUUUCUGAGAAUUUCUGGAGUGAGUUUGCUAGUUCUACAAAGAUCUCUCAAACUGUCCAGUCAUUAGAGACCGUGGAAGGAUUACAUUUGGAUAAAAACCAAAAUACCACAAAAUCCAGUGGAAGGCUUGACCCUGAAGUGUUGAAAACGUGAUUGUGGAGUGAAGCACAAACGUUCUGGACUUCAACCAGGACUUCGCUUUUCAUAUACAACUGCCUGGUUUCAGCACGUGAUGGAUCUCAACUUGCAAAUGGCAGAGUACUCAUAGCCAGGUGAGGACUGAUUUUGCCAGCCUCUGAUGACCUCUCAGCAGCACCAAGUGAGGGCACACUCCUGC